CUGUUGGAGCAUCAAAACCAACUCCUGUAGCUGAUGCUGAUGGGUUCUUCAGCGUCAAAAAUAAGAUGCUGGUAAACGUCACAGCAGAUCACCGAGUUGUGUAUGGCGCGGACUUAGCAGCCUUCCUUCAAACUUUUUCCAAGAUUAUUGAGAAUCCAGAUAGCUUGACAAUGUAGAUGGAGAGCUAAGAUUAGCUGGUACGCAUUGCAACUGAUAUAUGUGUUGCACUAAAAAAUUUCCAGUAGAUCAAAGUGAGCCUCGCAGUGCAAUUUUUGGAAUUUUAUCGCCUUUUUCGUUUUGCUGAUUCAUUUUCUUCUCUUAUAAGAAGCUGUAUUUUUCUGGAUUGCAAGAAUGUGACUGGUUUCUCAGA
RNAcentral lists this unclassified non-coding RNA (370 nucleotides) under Hevea brasiliensis (rubber tree). The record is from RNAcentral. Lineage: Eukaryota; Viridiplantae; Streptophyta; Magnoliopsida; Malpighiales; Euphorbiaceae.